CCAGAGCUUGCUCUCGGGUGACGAGUGGCGGACGGGUGAGUAAUGUCUGGGAAACUGCCUGAUGGAGGGGGAUAACUACUGGAAACGGUAGCUAAUACCGCAUAACGUCGCAAGACCAAAGAGGGGGACCUUCGGGCCUCUUGCCAUCAGAUGUGCCCAGAUGGGAUUAGCUAGUAGGUGGGGUAACGGCUCACCUAGGCGACGAUCCCUAGCUGGUCUGAGAGGAUGACCAGCCACACUGGAACUGAGACACGGUCCAGACUCCUACGGGAGGCAGCAGUGGGGAAUAUUGCACAAUGGGCGCAAGCCUGAUGCAGCCAUGCCGCGUGUAUGAAGAAGGCCUUCGGGUUGUAAAGUACUUUCAGCGGGGAGGAAGGUGUUGCGGUUAAUAACCGCAGCAAUUGACGUUACCCGCAGAAGAAGCACCGGCUAACUCCGUGCCAGCAGCCGCGGUAAUACGGAGGGUGCAAGCGUUAAUCGGAAUUACUGGGCGUAAAGCGCACGCAGGCGGUCUGUCAAGUCGGAUGUGAAAUCCCCGGGCUCAACCUGGGAACUGCAUUCGAAACUGGCAGGCUAGAGUCUUGUAGAGGGGGGUAGAAUUCCAGGUGUAGCGGUGAAAUGCGUAGAGAUCUGGAGGAAUACCGGUGGCGAAGGCGGCCCCCUGGACAAAGACUGACGCUCAGGUGCGAAAGCGUGGGGAGCAACAGGAUUAGAUACCCCUGGUAGUCCACGCCGUAACGAUGUCGACUUGGAGGUUGUGCCCUUGAGGCGUGCCUCC
RNAcentral lists this ribosomal RNA (778 nucleotides) under Enterobacter cloacae. RNAcentral describes it as "bacterial SSU rRNA". It matches the Rfam family "Bacterial small subunit ribosomal RNA", at positions 73 to 847 of the family's 1533-position model. The record is from RNAcentral. Lineage: Bacteria; Pseudomonadati; Pseudomonadota; Gammaproteobacteria; Enterobacterales; Enterobacteriaceae.